UUCAUCCUUGCAGACUGAGAAGCAGCAAUCCUAUGAAGCAGAACCUAUCUCCUAAGUCCUUCACUAGGAGAAUCUACAAUCUUAUCUUGCCGUGAGAAAUGGAAAUCGUUCUCAGGCCUGUAUUUGCAUAAGAAAGCAUUAAUGGCCUGAAGAAGUGGAUACUUUAUCUCGUUGGGUGAAGAGGAGUUUAUCUCUUUCUGGUAGAAGCAGCGAGAAGCCGUUCAUCGCCCAUUCGCCUUAUAAAUAGCAGCAGGAUAAUCAACAUGGCAAGCACUUACUGGGUCACCGUGCUCACCCUCCUCUCUCACAUUCAAAAACUGCUCCCUGUCGUUAGCGUUCUCACUACAGUGGCUUUGCGACCUUGUUGAGUUCCUCUUCAAAGCAACAUUUAUUGGCAUUCUUCGCUGCUGCCUGACAGCUGUAGCAUCACUGCAGAGUGGAGCCAUGGCCACGGUGGAAGUGCAAGCAAACAAAGCAGCAUUUUGAAGGUGGAGGUGGACUAUCUCAGCCUGUGCAAGGGCGAGUUGCGCAUGGAGGAGGUUAAUCUGGCGCUGGAGUGAGGAGAUGGAGGCAACACAGCCAUAUACAGGAUCUCUCACCCGCGCAUUCGCUUCAUAAACCAGACUGCUCACGGCAUCGCUCCGCUGCACCAUCGACAGCUCCUGCAGGACAUUUUCACAACAGCAAAUGCUCAGCCUCAGAGGAAGAGAGUGGAGUAAGAAACCUGCAAGAGCUUGCUGACAUUACUGGCUCCGAAGACCUUGUGCACAGUGGCAAACUUCUGUGGCUCAUCUGCGGGGAAGUAAGGUGCAAAUAUGCAAUCCUGCACACAUCUUC
This is a long non-coding RNA of Dendrobium catenatum, 837 nucleotides long. RefSeq lists it as uncharacterized. NCBI's taxonomy places the organism in Eukaryota, Viridiplantae, Streptophyta, Magnoliopsida, Asparagales, Orchidaceae. The transcript is spliced from 3 exons. The record is from RefSeq and is a predicted model, not a curated record.